Molecule: ribosomal RNA, 327 nt
Filed under: uncultured eukaryote
Lineage: Eukaryota
Description: partial 18S ribosomal RNA
Rfam family: Eukaryotic small subunit ribosomal RNA
Source: RNAcentral
CCCUUAGAUGUUCUGGGCCGCACACGCGCUACACUGAAGGAGGCAGCGUGUACUCCUGGAUCGAAAGAUUUGGGUAACCCGCGAAUCUCCUUCGUGCUAGGGAUUGAGGUUUGCAAUUAUCCUUCAUGAACGAGGAAUUCCCAGUAAGUGCAAGUCAUAAGCUUGCGCUGACUACGUCCCUGCCCUUUGUACACACCGCCCGUCGCUACUACCGAUUGAAUGAUUUAGUGAGGACUUCGGACUGGGACCGAUGCGGCUUUCGGGCUGCGUCGUUAUUCUGGAAAGAUGUCCAAACUGUAUCAUUUAGAGGAAGUAAAAGUCGUAACA